This 457-nucleotide ribosomal RNA is filed under the name uncultured bacterium. Its description in RNAcentral is "partial 16S ribosomal RNA". It matches the Rfam family "Bacterial small subunit ribosomal RNA", at positions 338 to 795 of the family's 1533-position model. The record is from RNAcentral.
CCUACGGGUGGCAGCAGUGGGGAAUAUUGCACAAUGGGGGAAACCCUGAUGCAGCGACGCCGCGUGAGUGAAGAAGUAUUUCGGUACGUAAAGCUCUAUCAGCAGGGAAGAAAAAAAGUCCUUUGGACUUUGGACGGUACCUGACCAAGAAGCCCCGGCUAAAUACGUGCCAGCAGCCGCGGUAAUACGUAGGGGGCAAGCGUUAUCCGGAUUUACUGGUGGGAAAGGGAGCGUAGACGGCAGCGCAAGUCUGGAGUGAAAUGCCGGGGCCCAACCCCGGAACUGCUUUGGAGACUGUGCAGCUGGAGUGUAGGAGAGGUAAGCGGAAUUCCUAGUGUAGCGGUGAAAUGCGUAGAUAUUAGGAGGAACACCAGUGGCGAAGGCGGCUUACUGGACUGUAACUGACGUUGAGGCUCGAAAGCGUGGGGAGCAAACAGGAUUAGAUACCCCAGUAGUC